GACGAACGCUGGCGGCGUGCUUAACACAUGCAAGUCGAACAGAAAGGCCCUGCUUUUGUGGGGUGCUCGAGUGGCGAACGGGUGAGUAACACGUGAGUAACCUGCCCUUGACUUUGGGAUACUUCAGGAAACUGGGGCUAAUACCGGAUAGGAGCUCCUGCUGCAUGGUGGGGGUUGGAAAGUUUCGGCGGUUGGGGAUGGACUCGCGGCUUAUCAGCUUGUUGGUGGGGUAGUGGCUUACCAAGGCUUUGACGGGUAGCCGGCCUGAGAGGGUGACCGGCCACAUUGGGACUGAGAUACGGCCCAGACUCCUACGGGAGGCAGCAGUGGGGAAUAUUGCACAAUGGGCGGAAGCCUGAUGCAGCAACGCCGCGUGCGGGAUGACGGCCUUCGGGUUGUAAACCGCUUUCGCCUGUGACGAAGCGUGAGUGACGGUAAUGGGUAAAGAAGCACCGGCUAACUACGUG
This 467-nucleotide ribosomal RNA is filed under the name uncultured bacterium. RNAcentral's name for it is "partial 16S ribosomal RNA". It matches the Rfam family "Bacterial small subunit ribosomal RNA", at positions 28 to 507 of the family's 1533-position model. The record is from RNAcentral.